RNAcentral lists this ribosomal RNA (443 nucleotides) under uncultured bacterium. RNAcentral's name for it is "partial 16S ribosomal RNA". It matches the Rfam family "Bacterial small subunit ribosomal RNA", at positions 338 to 795 of the family's 1533-position model. The record is from RNAcentral.
CCUACGGGUGGCAGCAGUGGGGGAUAUUGGACAAUGGGGGGAACCCUGAUCCAGCGACGCCGCGUGAGUGAAGAAGUAUCUCGGUAUGUAAAGUUCUUUUCUAAGGGAAGAAGAAAGUGACGGUACCUUAGGAAUAAGCCUCGGCUAACUACGUGCCAGCAGCCGCGGUAAUACGUAGGAGGCAAGCGUUAUCCGGAAUGACUGGGCGUAAAGGGUGCGUAGGUGGUUUGACAAGUUAGUAGCGCAACUCCGGAGCUCAACUUCGGAACUACUACUAAAACUGUUGGACUUGAGUGCAGGAGGGGCAAUCGGAAUUCCUAGUGUAGCGGUGGAAUGCGUAGAUAUUAGGAGGAACACCAGUGGCGAAGGCGGAUUGCUAGACUGUAACUGACACUGAGGCACGAAAGCGUGGGGAGCAAACAGGAUUAGAUACCCUUGUAGUC